GAUGAACGCUGGCGGCGUGCCUAAUACAUGCAAGUCGAGCGAACAGAUGAUGAGCUUUCUCCUCUGACGUUAGCGGCGGACGGGUGAGUAACACGUGGAUAACCUACCUAUAAGACUGGGAUAACUUCGUGAAACCGGAGCUAAUACCGGAUAAUAUAUUGAACCGCAUGGUUCAAUAGUGAAUGACGGUUUUGCUGUCACUUAUAGAUGGAUCCGCGCCGCAUUAGCUAGUUGGUAAGGUAACGGCUUACCAAGGCAACGAUGCGUAGCCGACCUGAGAGGGUGAUCGGCCACACUGGAACUGAGACACGGUCCAGACUCCUACGGGAGGCAGCAAUAGGGAAUCUUCCGCAAUGGGCGAAAGCCUGACGGAGCAACGCCGCGUGAGUGAUGAAGGUCUUCGGAUCGUAAAACUCUGUUAUUAGGGAAGAACAACUGUGUAAGUAACUAUGCACGUCUUGACGGUACCUAAUCAGAAAGCCACGGCUAACUACGUG
Molecule: ribosomal RNA, 497 nt
Filed under: uncultured bacterium
Lineage: Bacteria
Description: partial 16S ribosomal RNA
Rfam family: Bacterial small subunit ribosomal RNA
Source: RNAcentral